GACGAACGCUGGCGGCGUGCUUAACACAUGCAAGUCGAACGGAAAGGCCCUGCUUUUGUGGGGUGCUCGAGUGGCGAACGGGUGAGUAACACGUGAGUAACCUGCCCUUGACUUUGGGAUAACUUCAGGAAACUGGGGCUAAUACCGGAUAGGAUCUCCUGCUGCAUGGUGGGGGUUGGAAAGUUUCGGCGGUUGGGGAUGGACUCGCGGCUUAUCAGCUUGUUGGUGGGGUAGUGGCUUACCAAGGCUUUGACGGGUAGCCGGCCUGAGAGGGUGACCGGCCACAUUGGGACUGAGAUACGGCGCAGACUCCUACGGGAGGCAGCAGUGGGGAAUAUUGCACAAUGGGCGGAAGCCUGAUGCAGCAACGCCGCGUGCGGGAUGACGGCCUUCGGGUUGUAAACCGCUUUCGCCUGUGACGAAGCGUGAGUGACGGUAAUGGGUAAAGAAGCACCGGCUAACUACGUG
RNAcentral lists this ribosomal RNA (468 nucleotides) under uncultured bacterium. RNAcentral describes it as "partial 16S ribosomal RNA". It matches the Rfam family "Bacterial small subunit ribosomal RNA", at positions 28 to 507 of the family's 1533-position model. The record is from RNAcentral.